UAGUCUGGGAAACUGCCUGAUGAGGGGGAGUAACUACUGGAAACGGUAGCUAAUACCGCAUAAUGUCGCAAGACCAAAUGGGGGACCUUCGGGCCUCAUGCCAUCAGAUGUGCCCAGAUGGGAUUAGCUAGUAGGUGGGGUAAUGGCUCACCUAGGCGACGAUCCCUAGCUGGUCUGAGAGGAUGACCAGCCACACUGGAACUGAGACACGGUCCAG
This 217-nucleotide ribosomal RNA is filed under the name uncultured bacterium. RNAcentral describes it as "partial 16S ribosomal RNA". It matches the Rfam family "Bacterial small subunit ribosomal RNA", at positions 113 to 334 of the family's 1533-position model. The record is from RNAcentral.